RNAcentral lists this long non-coding RNA (520 nucleotides) under Arabidopsis lyrata. Its description in RNAcentral is "long non-coding RNA (ALYR_LNC002832)". Lineage: Eukaryota; Viridiplantae; Streptophyta; Magnoliopsida; Brassicales; Brassicaceae. The record is from RNAcentral.
CAUGGUUUUGUUAAUUUUUGGCUCAUAUUACUCAUUUUUUCUUCGUUAUCUUUUCUUUACUUCCUCUCGCCGGCGAAAAAGUCACAAAUAUCUCUAUUUCUCUCAUUAGAUUUAUCUUAUUUUUGCUGGAUUUUUCCUUUCUUUCUCCUUCUUUCUCUCGGAUUUCUUCACUACCAUAGUUUUUUUUUUUUCCUAUCUCCAAUUCUCUCAUUCGUUGUGCAUCACCACCGAGUCCCACCACCACCAUCAAUACCGAAUCUCGCUAAUUCCAACCUAGUAUCUUCAUCAACAUUUAUCGUUACCACCACCAAGGUUGAACCACUGUCAUCAACACCAAUACCACUCUACCACCUCUUCUCAUAUUUUUCCAACUGCUCUUAUAUCUCCAUCUUCUUUAUCUCCUCCGACACCGGACCGAACCUCUCCGAUAACAAUUCUAGCCUAUGUCAAUUGUUGUUCAUAAUUCUUAAUUUACCGCUAUCAUCAUAUAUUAUUUGGAGCUAAAUAUCACAUGCUAUUU